This 505-nucleotide ribosomal RNA is filed under the name uncultured bacterium. Its description in RNAcentral is "bacterial SSU rRNA". It matches the Rfam family "Bacterial small subunit ribosomal RNA", at positions 30 to 507 of the family's 1533-position model. The record is from RNAcentral.
UGAACGCUGGCGGCGUGCCUAACACAUGCAAGUCGUACGAGAAAUCCCGAGCUUGCUUGGGAGAGUAAAGUGGCGCACGGGUGAGUAACGCGUGGGUAACCCACCUUCGAAUCUGGGAUAACUCCGCGAAAGCGGUGCUAAUACCGGAUAAGACCACAGCCGCUUCGGCGGUAGAGGUAAAAGCUGACCUCUCCAUGGAAGUUAGCGUUCGAGGACGGGCCCGCGUCCUAUCAGCUUGUUGGUGGGGUAAAGGCCUACCAAGGCAGCGACGGGUAGCUGGUCUGAGAGGAUGAUCAGCCACACUGGAACUGGAACACGGUCCAGACUCCUACGGGAGGCAGCAGUGAGGAAUUUUGCGCAAUGGGCGAAAGCCUGACGCAGCAACGCCGCGUGGGUGAAGAAGGCUUUCGGGUCGUAAAGCCCUGUCAGGUGGGAAGAAAAUCUUCAGCACUAAUAAUGCUGAAGCCUGACGGUACCACCAGAGGAAGCACCGGCCAACUCCGUA